UACAGAGGUCUCAAGCGUUGUUCGGAUUCAUUGGGCGUAAAGGGCGCGUAGGCGGUCGUGACAAGUCAUUUGUGAAAUCUCCGGGCUUAACUCGGAACGGUCAAGUGAUACUGUCGGACUAGAGUACAGAAGGGGCAACUGGAAUUCUCGGUGUAGCGGUGAAAUGCGUAGAUAUCGAGAGGAACACCUGCGGCGAAGGCGGGUUGCUGGGCUGAUACUGACGCUGAGGCGCGAAAGCCAGGGGAGCGAACGGG
This 254-nucleotide ribosomal RNA is filed under the name uncultured bacterium. Its description in RNAcentral is "partial 16S ribosomal RNA". It matches the Rfam family "Bacterial small subunit ribosomal RNA", at positions 524 to 776 of the family's 1533-position model. The record is from RNAcentral.